This 253-nucleotide unclassified non-coding RNA is filed under the name plant metagenome. RNAcentral describes it as "partial contains small subunit ribosomal RNA, internal transcribed spacer 1, and 5.8S ribosomal RNA". The record is from RNAcentral.
UUUCCGUAGGUGAACCUGCGGAAGGAUCAUUACUGAGUUUUGAACGAAGUUGUCCUGGCCUUUCGGUGCAAGUGAACGCUUCUCUCAAUCCAUCUUACACCUGUGCACUUACCGGGGAUGACUUGGGUCUAAGUUGCGUCACGACGGCGAUCUACAUGCCCCUCUUUAUACCUAAUAACAGUUUUAGAAAGUCUUUUUUUCUUGAAGCAAACUAAAAUAAAUACAACUUUCAGCAACGGAUCUCUUGGCUCUC